Molecule: long non-coding RNA, 246 nt
Filed under: Amborella trichopoda
Lineage: Eukaryota; Viridiplantae; Streptophyta; Magnoliopsida; Amborellales; Amborellaceae
Description: long non-coding RNA (ATRI_LNC005340)
Source: RNAcentral
GGUGUGAGCAUUCAUCGAGUUGGUUGAGACCAUGUUUCGAAAACGAGGAUAAAAAGCCAAGCCUUUCGGCAGUACACCAAUCUCCCUCUCCCUGAUCGCGCUCUCCUUCCUCUUUAUUUUGCCGGGGAGAGGAAAGACCAAGCUCGUAGAGUGGUGGUUUUAUCCUGUUAUUGAUCCAAUGUGGAGACAAGUUCGGUUCGUUAUACCUGACUCAUUUAAGACGAGAAGAAACUCUUUUGAUUGGCU